This 253-nucleotide ribosomal RNA is filed under the name Clostridiaceae bacterium. Its description in RNAcentral is "partial 16S ribosomal RNA". It matches the Rfam family "Bacterial small subunit ribosomal RNA", at positions 524 to 776 of the family's 1533-position model. The record is from RNAcentral. RNAcentral also lists the same sequence under 1 other name. Lineage: Bacteria; Bacillati; Bacillota; Clostridia; Eubacteriales; Clostridiaceae.
UACGUAGGUGGCAAGCGUUGUCCGGAAUUAUUGGGCGUAAAGGAUGCGUAGGUGGUUCUUUAAGUGGGAUGUGAAAUCCCUGGGCUUAACCCAGGAAUUGCAUUCCAAACUGGAGGACUAGAGUGCAGGAGAGGAAAGUGGAAUUCCCAGUGUAGCGGUGAAAUGCGUAGAGAUUGGGAGGAACACCAGUGGCGAAGGCGGCUUUCUGGACUGUAACUGACACUGAGGCAUGAAAGCGUGGGGAGCAAACAGG